AACGAACGCUGGCGGCGCGCCUAAUACAUGCAAGUCGAGCGAGAAGACGUAGCAAUACGUUUGUAAAGCGGCGAACGGGUGAGGAAUACAUGGGUAACCUACCCUCGAGUGGGGAAUAACUAGCCGAAAGGUUGGCUAAUACCGCGUACGCUCCUUGGACUUCGGUUCAGGGAGGAAAGCGAUACCGUGGGUAUCGCGCUCUUGGAUGGGCUCAUGUCCUAUCAGCUUGUUGGUGAGGUAACGGUUCACCAAGGCUUCGACGGGUAGCUGGUCUGAGAGGACGAUCAGCCACACUGGCACUGCGACACGGGCCAGACUCCUACGGGAGGCAGCAGUAAGGAAUAUUGCGCAAUGGGCGAAAGCCUGACGCAGCGACGCCGCGUGGGGGAUGAAGGUCUUCGGAUUGUAAACCCCUUUCGGGAGGGAAGAUGGAACGAGCAUCGUUCGGACGGUACCUCCAGAAGCAGCCACGGCUAACUUCGU
RNAcentral lists this ribosomal RNA (483 nucleotides) under uncultured bacterium. Its description in RNAcentral is "bacterial SSU rRNA". It matches the Rfam family "Bacterial small subunit ribosomal RNA", at positions 29 to 506 of the family's 1533-position model. The record is from RNAcentral.